GCUGGACCUGGUGGCGCACACCUACAAUCCCAGCAACUUGGGAGGCUGAGGCAGGAGAAUUGCAAGUUCGAGGUCAGCCUCAGCAACUUAGCAAGACCCUGUCUCAA
This 107-nucleotide small RNA is filed under the name Marmota monax (woodchuck). Lineage: Eukaryota; Metazoa; Chordata; Mammalia; Rodentia; Sciuridae. The record is from RNAcentral.